This 77-nucleotide transfer RNA is filed under the name Bryobacterales bacterium. RNAcentral's name for it is "tRNA-His". It matches the Rfam family "tRNA". From Rfam's summary of the family: Transfer RNA (tRNA) molecules are approximately 80 nucleotides in length. Their secondary structure includes four short double-helical elements and three loops (D, anti-codon, and T loops). Lineage: Bacteria; Pseudomonadati; Acidobacteriota; Terriglobia; Bryobacterales. The record is from RNAcentral.
GUGGGUGUAGCUCAGCUUGGUAGAGCGCCUGAUUGUGGUUCAGGUGGUCGAGGGUUCGAAUCCCUCCACCCACCCCA